RNAcentral lists this ribosomal RNA (445 nucleotides) under uncultured bacterium. RNAcentral describes it as "partial 16S ribosomal RNA". It matches the Rfam family "Bacterial small subunit ribosomal RNA", at positions 354 to 796 of the family's 1533-position model. The record is from RNAcentral.
GUGAGGAAUAUUGGUCAAUGGGCGAAAGCCUGAACCAGCCAUGUCGCGUGAAGGAUGAAGGUCCUAUGGAUUGUAAACUUCUUUUGCAGGAGGGUAAAGUGAGCUACGUGUAGUUCAUUGCAAGUACCCUGCGAAUAAGCAUCGGCUAACUCCGUGCCAGCAGCCGCGGUAAUACGGAGGAUGCGAGCGUUAUCCGGAUUUAUUGGGUUUAAAGGGUGCGUAGGCGGACUAAUUAGUCAGCGGUGAAAUUUUGCGGCUCAACCGUAAAACUGCCGUUGAAACUGUUAGUCUUGAGUGCGGUAGAGGUAGGCGGAAUGUGUGGUGUAGCGGUGAAAUGCUUAGAUAUCACACAGAACACCGAUUGCGUAGGCAGCUUACUGGAGCGCAACUGACGCUGAGGCACGAAAGCGUGGGGAUCGAACAGGAUUAGAUACCCGUGUAGUCC